RNAcentral lists this ribosomal RNA (1019 nucleotides) under Staphylococcus aureus. RNAcentral describes it as "bacterial SSU rRNA". It matches the Rfam family "Bacterial small subunit ribosomal RNA", at positions 1 to 1001 of the family's 1533-position model. The record is from RNAcentral. Lineage: Bacteria; Bacillati; Bacillota; Bacilli; Caryophanales; Staphylococcaceae.
UUUAUGGAGAGUUUGAUCCUGGCUCAGGAUGAACGCUGGCGGCGUGCCUAAUACAUGCAAGUCGAGCGAACGGACGAGAAGCUUGCUUCUCUGAUGUUAGCGGCGGACGGGUGAGUAACACGUGGAUAACCUACCUAUAAGACUGGGAUAACUUCGGGAAACCGGAGCUAAUACCGGAUAAUAUUUUGAACCGCAUGGUUCAAAAGUGAAAGACGGUCUUGCUGUCACUUAUAGAUGGAUCCGCGCUGCAUUAGCUAGUUGGUAAGGUAACGGCUUACCAAGGCAACGAUGCAUAGCCGACCUGAGAGGGUGAUCGGCCACACUGGAACUGAGACACGGUCCAGACUCCUACGGGAGGCAGCAGUAGGGAAUCUUCCGCAAUGGGCGAAAGCCUGACGGAGCAACGCCGCGUGAGUGAUGAAGGUCUUCGGAUCGUAAAACUCUGUUAUUAGGGAAGAACAUAUGUGUAAGUAACUGUGCACAUCUUGACGGUACCUAAUCAGAAAGCCACGGCUAACUACGUGCCAGCAGCCGCGGUAAUACGUAGGUGGCAAGCGUUAUCCGGAAUUAUUGGGCGUAAAGCGCGCGUAGGCGGUUUUUUAAGUCUGAUGUGAAAGCCCACGGCUCAACCGUGGAGGGUCAUUGGAAACUGGAAAACUUGAGUGCAGAAGAGGAAAGUGGAAUUCCAUGUGUAGCGGUGAAAUGCGCAGAGAUAUGGAGGAACACCAGUGGCGAAGGCGACUUUCUGGUCUGUAACUGACGCUGAUGUGCGAAAGCGUGGGGAUCAAACAGGAUUAGAUACCCUGGUAGUCCACGCCGUAAACGAUGAGUGCUAAGUGUUAGGGGGUUUCCGCCCCUUAGUGCUGCAGCUAACGCAUUAAGCACUCCGCCUGGGGAGUACGACCGCAAGGUUGAAACUCAAAGGAAUUGACGGGGACCCGCACAAGCGGUGGAGCAUGUGGUUUAAUUCGAAGCAACGCGAAGAACCUUACCAAAUCUUGACAUCCUUUGACAACUCU